This 660-nucleotide ribosomal RNA is filed under the name Triticum aestivum (bread wheat). RNAcentral describes it as "partial small subunit ribosomal RNA". Lineage: Eukaryota; Viridiplantae; Streptophyta; Magnoliopsida; Poales; Poaceae. The record is from RNAcentral.
AUGAACGAGUACCACGAGCUCUGGCAAAGGUUAGAUGUGGUGAACCUAACACGUGACGCAAGAGAUAGAAUCAGAUGGGCAUGGGAAGCAAAUGGCACUUACUCGGCGAAAUCGGCUUACAUGACCAAGUUCAUGGGAAGAGAGGUUAUACCGUACGCAGAUACGGUGUGGAAGCAUAGAGCUCCGCUCCAAUGCCGCUUUUUCACCUGGCUCGCAAUGCGGAACCAUUGUUGGACUUCUGAUAGACUGGCCCAGAGAGGCCUCCCACAUCAGCCGUCUUGCCCGCUGUGUGACCAACACACCGAGUCCAUACGACACAUUCUACUCAACUGCGUGCCCUCGAGGAUUGUGUGGGCUCGGAUUUGUACUGCGCUCGGAAGACUUGACCAAGCUCUGGGAUUGGCAAAUGAGUUAGUAGAGUGGUGCACGAUGAGGCAAUGCGGCACCUGCUCUCCAAAGGAUUUGAAAGCUAUAAUCACGCUCACUCUCUGGGAGCUUUGGAAGCAUAGAAACGACGUGGUCUUCGACGGUGCUCCGCCUUCCACUAGGCAGGUGAUCAAGAACAUCAAUCAUGAGGCGAGAACAUGGAGAACUACGGGACUUCUCGAAGGGGACUUAGACUCCUUUGGCAGGAUGUCGACGUGGGAUGAUAGCGAAUAG